Molecule: ribosomal RNA, 559 nt
Filed under: uncultured bacterium
Lineage: Bacteria
Description: bacterial SSU rRNA
Rfam family: Bacterial small subunit ribosomal RNA
Source: RNAcentral
CGGAAUCUGCCUAUUUGUGGGGGAUAACGUAGGGAAACUUACGCUAAUACCGCAUACGACCUACGGGUGAAAGCGGAGGACCUUCGGGCUUCGCGCAGAUAGAUGAGCCGAUGCCGGAUUAGCUAGUUGGCGGGGUAAAGGCCCACCAAGGCGACGAUCCGUAGCUGGUCUGAGAGGAUGAUCAGCCACACUGGAACUGAGACACGGUCCAGACUCCUACGGGAGGCAGCAGUGGGGAAUAUUGGACAAUGGGCGCAAGCCUGAUCCAGCCAUGCCGCGUGGGUGAAGAAGGCCUUCGGGUUGUAAAGUCCUUUUGUUGGGAAAGAAAAGCAGUCGGUUAAUACCCGAUUGUUCUGACGGUACCCAAAGAAUAAGCACCGGCUAACUUCGUGCCAGCAGCCGCGGUAAUACGAAGGGUGCAAGCGUUACUCGGAAUUACUGGGCGUAAAGCGUGCGUAGGUGGUUUGUUAAGUCUGAUGUGAAAGCCCUGGGCUCAACCUGGGAAUUGCAUUGGAUACUGGCAGGCUAGAGUGCGGUAGAGGGUAGUGGAAUUCCCGGU